CAAAUACCCCCCGUGGUUUCGUACUUUUUUACUUUAGUACCCUAUGGUUUAAAGUGUAUCAAGUUAGUAUCCUGUGGUUUUACGCUUUCUCACUUUAGUAUCCUGUGGUUUCAAUGUAUCAAGUUAGUAUCCUGUUGUUUAAUUUUUGUAUCAAGUUAGUGCCCUGUGGUUUUAAUUUUUUUUUUUUUAUUAUCCAUUUCGAGGUAUAUAAUUUAACAAAAUAUUAAACCACAGAGUACUAAAGUGAUAAAGUGCGAAACCACAUGAUACUAACUUGAUACACUUGAAAGCACAUGGUACUAAAAUGAGAAAGUGCGAAACCAUACGGGUGUAUUUGAAGUUUUUCCUAAAAUUAUUUUAGAAGUCAGACAGAAAAGAUAUUUAUGUUUUGUUUAGUUUGAAAAUAAAGUAGGGAUAACAAAAGUUAUUUCCACUAUUCUACCAAACAAAAUAUUUUUUGGCCGGAAUAUUUUAUUCUGGUCAAAUUUUACUAUUUUCGGUUAUUCC
This 507-nucleotide long non-coding RNA is filed under the name Ananas comosus (pineapple). RNAcentral's name for it is "long non-coding RNA (ACOM_LNC039402)". Lineage: Eukaryota; Viridiplantae; Streptophyta; Magnoliopsida; Poales; Bromeliaceae. The record is from RNAcentral.